GAUGAACGCUGGCGGCGUGCCUAAUACAUGCAAGUCGAGCGAACAGAUAAGGAGCUUGCUCCUUUGAAGUUAGCGGCGGACGGGUGAGUAACACGUGGGUAACCUACCUAUAAGACUGGGAUAACUUCGGGAAACCGGAGCUAAUACCGGAUAAUAUUUAGAACCGCAUGGUUCUAAAGUGAAAGAUGGUUUUGCUAUCACUUAUAGAUGGACCCGCGCCGUAUUAGCUAGUUGGUAAGGUAACGGCUUACCAAGGCGACGAUACGUAGCCGACCUGAGAGGGUGAUCGGCCACACUGGAACUGAGACACGGUCCAGACUCCUACGGGAGGCAGCAGUAGGGAAUCUUCCGCAAUGGGCGAAAGCCUGACGGAGCAACGCCGCGUGAGUGAUGAAGGGUUUCGGCUCGUAAAACUCUGUUAUUAGGGAAGAACAAAUGUGUAAGUAACUGUGCACAUCUUGACGGUACCUAAUCAGAAAGCCACGGCUAACUACGUGCCAGCAGCCGCGGUAAUACGUAGGUGGCAAGCGUUAUCCGGAAUUAUUGGGCGUAAAGCGCGCGUAGGCGGUUUCUUAAGUCUGAUGUGAAAGCCCACGGCUCAACCGUGGAGGGUCAUUGGAAACUGGGAAACUUGAGUGCAGAAGAGGAAAGUGGAAUUCCAUGUGUAGCGGUGAAAUGCGCAGAGAUAUGGAGGAAUACCAGUGGCGAAAGGCGACUUUCUGGUCUGUAACUGACGCUGAUGUGCGAAAGCGUGGGGAUCAAACAGGAUUAGAUACCCUGGUAGUCCACGCCGUAAACGAUGAGUGCUAAGUGUUAGGGGGUUUCCGCCCCUUAGUGCUGCAGCUAACGCAUUAAGCACUCCGCCUGGGGAGUACGACCGCAAGGUUGAAACUCAAAGGAAUUGACGGGGACCCGCACAAGCGGUGGAGCAUGUGGUUUAAUUCGAAGCAACGCGAAGAACCUUACCAAAUCUUGACAUCCUUUGAAAACUCUAGAGAUAGAGCCUUCCCCUUCGGGGGACAAAGUGACAGGUGGUGCAUGGUUGUCGUCAGCUCGUGUCGUGAGAUGUUGGGUUAAGUCCCGCAACGAGCGCAACCCUUAAGCUUAGUUGCCAUCAUUAAGUUGGGCACUCUAGGUUGACUGCCGGUGACAAACCGGAGGAAGGUGGGGAUGACGUCAAAUCAUCAUGCCCCUUAUGAUUUGGGCUACACACGUGCUACAAUGGACAAUACAAAGGGCAGCUAAACCGCGAGGUCAUGCAAAUCCCAUAAAGUUGUUCUCAGUUCGGAUUGUAGUCUGCAACUCGACUACAUGAAGCUGGAAUCGCUAGUAAUCGUAGAUCAGCAUGCUACGGUGAAUACGUUCCCGGGUCU
RNAcentral lists this ribosomal RNA (1373 nucleotides) under uncultured bacterium. Its description in RNAcentral is "bacterial SSU rRNA". It matches the Rfam family "Bacterial small subunit ribosomal RNA", at positions 28 to 1381 of the family's 1533-position model. The record is from RNAcentral.